CCUACGGGGGGCAGCAGUGAGGAAUAUUGGUCAAUGGACGAGAGUCUGAACCAGCCAAGUAGCGUGAAGGAUGACUGCCCUAUGGGUUGUAAACUUCUUUUAUAUGGGAAUAAAAUGUUCCACGUGUGGGAUUUUGUAUGUACCAUAUGAAUAAGGAUCGGCUAACUCCGUGCCAGCAGCCGCGGUAAUACGGAGGAUCCGAGCUUUAUCCGGAUUUAUUGGGUUUAAGGGGAGCGUAGGUGGAUUGUUAAGUCAGUUGUGAAAGUUUGCGGCUCAACCGUAAAAUUGCAGUUGAAACUGGCAGUCUUGAGUACAGUAGAGGUAGGCGGAAUGCGUGGUGUAGCGGUGAAAUGCUUAGAUAUCACGAAGAACUCCGAUUGCGAAGGCAGUUCACUGGACUGCAACUGACACUGAGGCUCGAAAGUGUGGGUAUCAAACAGGAUUAGAUACCCGGGUAGUC
Molecule: ribosomal RNA, 460 nt
Filed under: uncultured bacterium
Lineage: Bacteria
Description: partial 16S ribosomal RNA
Rfam family: Bacterial small subunit ribosomal RNA
Source: RNAcentral